RNA transcript from Octodon degus (degu), 1411 nucleotides. It is a transcript of the gene named non-POU domain-containing octamer-binding protein-like, with no coding region annotated. The transcript has 2 exons. The record is from RefSeq and is a predicted model, not a curated record. NCBI's taxonomy places the organism in Eukaryota, Metazoa, Chordata, Mammalia, Rodentia, Octodontidae.
AUGCAGAGCAAUAAGACAUUUAACUUGGAGAAGCAGAACCAUAAGCAGCAUCAGCAUCACCACCACCAGCAGCAUCAGCAGCAACAAGAACAACAGCAGCAACAGCAGCAGCAGCCACUUCCACUGCCACCAAUACCUGUAAAUGGGCAACAGGCCAGUAGCCAAAAUGAAGGUUUGACUAUCAACCUGAAGAAUUUUAGGAAACCGGAGAGAAGGCAUUUACCCAACAUAGCUACCUCUUUGUGGGCAAUCUUCCCCCUGAUAUCACUGAAAAAGAAAUGAGGAAACUGAGAAAUAUGGGAAAGCAGAAGUUUUCAUUCAUAAGGAUAAAGACUUUGGCUUUAUCUGUUUGGAAACACUAACACUUGCAGAGUUUGCAAAAGUGGAGCUGGAUAUUAUGCCUCUCCAUGAAAGACAACUGUGUGUGUGUGCUUUGCCUGCCAUAGUGCAUCCCUUAUAGUCUGCAACCUUCCUCAGUACGUGUCCAAUGAACUACUGGAAGAAGUCUUUUCAUUGUUUGGCCAGGUGGAAAGCGCAGUAGUCAAUGGAGAUGAUCGAGGAAGACCCUCAGGAAAAAGCAUUGUUGAAAUGGAAGCCAGCUGUGUGGAAAGCUCUGGACAGAUGCAGUGAAGGGUCUUUCCUACUAACCACAUUUCCUCAGCCUGUAACAGUGAGCCUAUGGACCAGUUCGAUGACAAAGAAGGACUUCCAGAAAAACUUGUUAUGAAGAACCAGCAAUUUCACAAGAAGCAAGGGCAGCCACCUCGAUUUGCACAGCUUGGCUCCUCUGAAUAUGAGUAUGCCAUGCACUGGAAGGCAGUUAUUGAGAUGGAGAAGCAGCAGAGGGAUCAAAUGGACCACAACAUCAAGAAGCCCAUGAGAAGCUGGAGAUGGAGAUGGAGGCUGCUUGCCAUGAGCACCAGGUUAUGCUGAUGAGGCAGAAUUUGAUGAGAUGCCAAGAUCUUCAGAGAAUUGAUGAGUGGAUAACCAAGAGGUGCAAAAACAAAAGCUACUGGAGCUCAGGUAGGAAGAGGAGGAUUGGCACCAUGAAGAAGAAAUGUGAAGAAGAAAUGCGGUGGCAACAAGAAGAGAUUUGUGGCUACAGCAGGAAGGAUUCAAGGGAACCGUUCCUGAUGUGUGAGAUCAAUAGAAAUGGAUGGGCCAAAUGGCUAUGGGAGGUGCUACAGGCAUAAACAACAGAGGCACCAUACCCCCUGCUCAGGGGCCCAGCUCCUCCAGGACCUGCCACCAGGAUGCCCAAUGGAACCUUGGGAUUGAUGCCACCAACAAAUGAAUGCUUUGGCCAGGCUGCUACAAUGGAAGGAAUUGGGGCAAUUGGUGGAACCCUUCUUGCUUUCAACCGUACAGCUCAUGGAGCUGAUUUUCCCCAAACAAACAUUGCCAAUACUAA